RNAcentral lists this long non-coding RNA (1225 nucleotides) under Cairina moschata (Muscovy duck). Its description in RNAcentral is "domestica (muscovy Duck (domestic type)) lncRNA (ENSCMMG00000016082.1)". The record is from RNAcentral. Lineage: Eukaryota; Metazoa; Chordata; Aves; Anseriformes; Anatidae.
GACUGCCGGAGCUGCCUGUCUUGGUGUCUCUCCCUCUCUGAGGGAUGCGCUCGGUAGCGACCGGUCAUUUCCAGGGCAGCCGCCUCCACAGUCAUAAAACGGGACCCGCUCCACAGAGCCGACCCUCCUGCAGAGGCGUGAAUCGCACCGUACGUCCAGCAGGGUCUGUCGGAGGGACAGGAAGGGACGAGGGGACCCUGAAUCUUCCGCUUAUUCUCCCGCAAAUCGGCAGACUACUACUGUCAUAUUGUAGCAGAAAGAAGCAAAAGAAAAGGCAUAUAUGCCCACAUAGGCAUCACAACUCUUGGAAUUCAGUCACAGCUUUCCUGCUUUUUAAUUCCUGUAUUGCCUGUAUUACAUCUUGCACAGUAGUAACAUGGGCUACUCCUGGGUUCUCGUCUGAUGCUUUCUUAUGGUCAAUACAAUGAAAGAAAAGGGCUGCUAAGAAGGUAUAAAAUUAAAUCACAGUCAUGAAGUUGGAAAAGAUUACCAGAAAUCACAAAAUAUGACAAAAAAUAACGGAUGACUUUGGAGUAUAAAUUGAUAUGUGAGCACUUACACAAACGCAAGCAGCAUUAAGAGUUUUCAGAUUUACAUUCUUAUCCCCUAAGCCUUUUGGAAUAGGGCUUUGCAGAGGAUACUUCCUGCAUGCCACAGCUUUGUAAACUGAUUGGUUUCAUUGUCAUUCAUCAACCACAGUUUGUUCAAACCAGAUAUCUCCAUAGCAAGUUUGUGAAGCCUUCUGCAGAGGAUGAAUUUCACCUCCAUUGCACCUGCUGCUAUGGCUCCGAAGAAGCAAUUUUCUCUGGGGAAAGACUGUGACUGUUGAUGAUAGCAUUGAUACUGCAUCUAUUCUCUACAUCUAUUUCCCAAAUCUGUCACAUCAAGCUCUGAGAUGAUGAGGAUAAUUAAAGUCCAGCUGAAUAACCUUCUAGGGCCCACUGAGAAAGAAUGAAUAUUUCAGUGCUCAAAACCCUAUUGCUACCCUCACAGAUUACUCAUCUUUCACUUCCCAGAAAAAUAAUACAACUGUCCCCUUUGCUGUCUCCUGUACAUAUCAUCCUGCAGAAUAAACUGGUUCAAAAUCUUUAUUUUUGCAGAAGUCACUGUUUGCCACUGGUUAUUGCACUGGCAGAGCUACAUGUAAUUAUUCCCUAUAUUACUUUCAAAGCAUCAGAAACUAAACGAGGGAUUCUUUUCCAAUCAGGUCAAAUCAAGAGCUAAA